Long non-coding RNA from Paramisgurnus dabryanus, 1080 nucleotides. RefSeq lists it as uncharacterized. Lineage: Eukaryota; Metazoa; Chordata; Actinopteri; Cypriniformes; Cobitidae. The record is from RefSeq and is a predicted model, not a curated record.
AAGAGGACAAUUAUCUUAUUAUGAUAUUAUAAAAAUCAGCUUAUUACAUUAACAUGUUUCAAGCGUUUUAAUUUACUUUUAUUUGUGAAGUUUAUCUAUCACAGGUGGAGACAUACGCACAUACGAAACGGCAAAAAAGACGUUAAAAUCUGGUUUAAGAGCAAAAAAACUACCUGUGCCAAUCAGUUUUUGCCAUUUAUGGGCUUUACCCUAUAAAAGAAAACCAUUUUAUGCAUUUAAAUGACCUUACACGUUAUCAGUUUAUUAAGCGUUUAGACUAUGUAGACACACUCACUGUGCACUAAAAUUAAAAAAAUUGGUUAACACGACCACUCGUGGUGGCUUCACUCAGAGGUUGGAGAAGACAACCGGUGGACUAAACAUCAAGCCUCUGCACGAUUCAGGUAAGUGGAAUAAAAUACAUUGUAAAUAAACAUUAUUAAAACAGAUUGUGAAGUCAUUCAUUCAAAACUUGCUAUGACCUAAGCCUAAAUGACUUAAUUUCUUUUUAGAAUUAAGACAACCUUAGCAGGAGAGCCCCAGCAGUAACUUUCUCUCAAGCAGAUGAGCAAUAAGUUGCUUUGUAUGAACACCACCCUAACAAUCAAGUAGCCUGUUAACAGUAGACCAAAGGUAUGAUGAUCAAUUAUAAAUGCAAUAUGGUUGAAAGGUCAGUAAACAAACAACAAAAAGGUAAUUUCUUAAUAGAAUGUCUAUACAUUUUUUGCUUUUGUUACAUAUUUCAUACAUCAAAAUCAUUAAACGUUAAUAAUUAUGUAUUCCAACUUGUUGCAGCUUGACAAAAAUGUAGCUUGAAGGAGAAGGGACAGCUGAGUAACAAAGUCCUGGUACGCAGACGACGAUACUAUUACACUGACAAGAGUGUAAUGAUGAUGGAGACACAAGCCAGAGAAAGGGGGGACCAAACACCAGGCCAGAAUUCUGCAUGAGUCAGAUCCAGUGGGUGCAGAUCAUCAUACAGAUGGUUCAAGUGUGGAUCCACCUAAUAUUCAAGAUUUUCUGUCCUGGGACACUUGGCUAACCAUCAAGAAAGAACACAGUAGGUUAACAAGAAUCUGA